This 508-nucleotide ribosomal RNA is filed under the name uncultured bacterium. RNAcentral describes it as "partial 16S ribosomal RNA". It matches the Rfam family "Bacterial small subunit ribosomal RNA", at positions 28 to 523 of the family's 1533-position model. The record is from RNAcentral.
GAUGAACGCUAGCUACAGGCUUAACACAUGCAAGUCGAGGGGAAACGAUAGAGAAAGCUUGCUUUUUCUAGGCGUCGACCGGCGCACGGGUGAGUAACGCGUAUCCAACCUGCCCAUCACUUGGGGAUAACCUUGCGAAAGUCAGACUAAUACCCAAUGACGUCUCUAGAAGACACCUGAAAGAGAUUAAAGAUUUAUCGGUGAUGGAUGGGGAUGCGUCUGAUUAGCUUGUUGGCGGGGUAACGGCCCACCAAGGCGACGAUAAGUAGGGGUUCUGAGAGGAAGGUCCCCCACAUUGGAACUGAGACACGGUCCAAACUCCUACAGGAGGCAGCAGUGAGGAAUAUUGGUCAAUGGACGAGAGUCUGAACCAGCCAAGUAGCGUGCAGGAUGACGGCCCUAUGGGUUGUAAACUGCUUUUAUAAGGGAAUAAAGUGAGUCUCGUGAGACUUUUUGCAUGUACCUUAUGAAUAAGGACCGGCUAAUUCCGUGCCAGCCGCCGCAGUAA